UACGGGGGGGGCAAGCGUUGUUCGGAAUUACUGGGCGUAAAGGGUCUGUAGGUGGCUCGCUAAGUCAGACGUGAAAUCCCUCAGCUUAACUGGGGAACUGCGUCUGAGACUGAUGAGCUCGAGUGCAGGAGAGGAAUGCGGAAUUCCAGGUGUAGCGGUGAAAUGCGUAGAUAUCUGGAGGAACACCGGUGGCGAAGGCGGCAUUCUGGACUGCAACUGACACUGAGAGACGAAAGCCAGGGGAGCAAACGGG
RNAcentral lists this ribosomal RNA (253 nucleotides) under uncultured bacterium. RNAcentral describes it as "partial 16S ribosomal RNA". It matches the Rfam family "Bacterial small subunit ribosomal RNA", at positions 524 to 776 of the family's 1533-position model. The record is from RNAcentral.